AAUACCCGUGGCGAAGGCGGCCCCUGGACAAGACUGACGCUCAGGUGCGAAAGCGUGGGAGCAAACAGGAUAGAUACCUGGUAGUCACGCUGUAAACGAUGUCGAUUUGGAGGUUGUUCCCGUGAGGAGUGGCUUCCGGAGCUAACGCGUUAAAUCGACCGCUGGGGAGUACGGCCGCAAGGUUAGAACUCAAAUGAAUUGACGGGGGCCCGCACAAGCGGUGGAGCAUGUGGUUUAAUUCGAUGCAACGCGAAGAACCUUACCUACUCUUGACAUCCAGAGAAUUUAGCAGAGAUGCUUUAGUGCCUUCGGGAACUCUGAGACAGGUGCUGCAUGGCUGUCGUCAGCUCGUGUUGUGAAAUGUUGGGUUAAGUCCCGCAACGAGCGCAACCCUUAUCCUUUGUUGCCAGCACGUUAUGGUGGGAACUCAAAGGAGACUGCCGGUGAUAAACCGGAGGAAGGUGGGGAUGACGUCAAGUCAUCAUGGCCCUUACGAGUAGGGCUACACACGUGCUACAAUGGCGUAUACAAAGAGAAGCGACCUCGCGAGAGCAAGCGGAACUCAUAAAGUACGUCGUAGUCCGGAUUGGAGUCUGCAACUCGACUCCAUGAAGUCGGAAUCGCUAGUAAUCGUAGAUCAGAAUGCUACGGUGAAUACGUUCCCGGGCCUUGUACACACCGCCCGUCACACCAUGGGAGUGGGUUGCAAAAGAAGUAGGUAGCUUAACCUUCGGGAGGGCGCUUACCACUUUGUGAUUCAUGACUGGGGUGAAGUCGUAACAAGGUAACCA
This 791-nucleotide ribosomal RNA is filed under the name uncultured Providencia sp. RNAcentral's name for it is "bacterial SSU rRNA". It matches the Rfam family "Bacterial small subunit ribosomal RNA", at positions 705 to 1502 of the family's 1533-position model. Lineage: Bacteria; Pseudomonadati; Pseudomonadota; Gammaproteobacteria; Enterobacterales; Morganellaceae. The record is from RNAcentral.